GACAGAGGCCCCGAGCGUUAGGCGGAAUCACUGGGCUUAAAGCGUGUGUAGGCGGACCCCUAAGUGUCUUGUGAAAUCCCACGGCUCACCCGUGGAACUGCUGGGCAUACUGGGGGUCUUGGGCCGUUCAGGGGCGACUGGAACAAGCGGUGGAGCGGUGAAAUGCGUAGAUAUCAUUUGGAACGCCAAUGGUGAAAACAGGUAGCUGGGGCUGUGCUGACGCUGAGACACGAAAGCCAGGGGAGCAAACGGG
This 253-nucleotide ribosomal RNA is filed under the name uncultured bacterium. RNAcentral describes it as "partial 16S ribosomal RNA". It matches the Rfam family "Bacterial small subunit ribosomal RNA", at positions 524 to 776 of the family's 1533-position model. The record is from RNAcentral.